AUUAGGAACUUCAUUCCAAAAAUUUACAACCCUCAUGGAAGCCAAGGUUGCAAGAGCAUCUGCCAUCCGGUUUUCAUCUAGAAGGAUAUGAUGAAACUCAACCUCUAUAAAGAAAGUUGAAAUCCUCCUUGCAUAAUCUUUGUAUGGUAUCAAACCGGGUUGAUUCGUUUCCCAUUCACCUUUUGUUUGAUUCAUAACCAAAGUU
This 205-nucleotide long non-coding RNA is filed under the name Lathyrus oleraceus (garden pea). RNAcentral describes it as "Pisum sativum (pea) long non-coding RNA (PSAT_LNC032048)". The record is from RNAcentral. Lineage: Eukaryota; Viridiplantae; Streptophyta; Magnoliopsida; Fabales; Fabaceae.